GAUUGAAUCGACGCUGGCGGCGUCACGCCAGCGCCUGC
RNAcentral lists this small RNA (38 nucleotides) under Pantoea ananatis. Lineage: Bacteria; Pseudomonadati; Pseudomonadota; Gammaproteobacteria; Enterobacterales; Erwiniaceae. The record is from RNAcentral.